GAACAAUAAGCUAUAUACGGUGCCUUCCAGAUUUGUGUUUCUGAGUGAUACAUCAGUAGAUGAGUACAUCCAGAUGUUCCUUGAAGACAUUGUCUUACAGGUCUGCUAAGGUUGAAAACAAAGAUAAGGUUUUGCCAUUUCUUUCUAAUGCUCUUUCCAUCUGCUGUACUGCAUCUGCAUUCUCUGUGGAUUAGAAGGGAUUUUGACAUGGGAAUUUCCACACUGGAUCAGACCCACGACCCAUCUAAUCCAAUGUCCUGUUUCUGACAGUGACCGGAUGCUUCAGAGGAACAUGCAAGAAACCCCACAGU
Molecule: long non-coding RNA, 311 nt
Organism: Mauremys mutica (yellowpond turtle)
Lineage: Eukaryota; Metazoa; Chordata; Testudines; Geoemydidae
Exons: 3
Source: RefSeq, a predicted model, not a curated record